UACGUAGGGGGCAAGCGUUGUCCGGAUUUACUGGGCGUAAAGAGCGCGCAGGCGGUCGUACAAGUCGCGUGUGAAAGCCCCCGGCUCAACUGGGGAGGGUCACGCGAUACUGUUCGACUCGAAGGCAGGAGAGGGAAGCGGAAUUCCCGGUGUAGUGGUGAAAUGCGUAGAUAUCGGGAGGAACACCAGUGGCGAAGGCGGCUUCCUGGCCUGUUCUUGACGCUGAGGCGCGAAAGCUAGGGUAGCAAACGGG
This 253-nucleotide ribosomal RNA is filed under the name uncultured bacterium. RNAcentral describes it as "partial 16S ribosomal RNA". It matches the Rfam family "Bacterial small subunit ribosomal RNA", at positions 524 to 776 of the family's 1533-position model. The record is from RNAcentral.